RNAcentral lists this ribosomal RNA (594 nucleotides) under Triticum aestivum (bread wheat). Its description in RNAcentral is "partial small subunit ribosomal RNA". The record is from RNAcentral. Lineage: Eukaryota; Viridiplantae; Streptophyta; Magnoliopsida; Poales; Poaceae.
AUGGCUGGCAGGAUCCUAGUGAUGCGACCAGCAUCAUUAUCUGAUUUCACAAAGAGUUUGGAACAGAUGAAGGUGACUCUCCUCCAAAAUGAUGUGAAGUUACUCAUUGUUGAUAGCGUGGCUGCUUUCAUGUCAUCGGAGAACGAAAGAGGUACAACAGGUUUCACACAACACCCUCUAAGAUGGGCUCUUUCAUUUCUUAAGUCUAUAGCAGAGUUGACAAGAAUUCCAGUUGUAGUUUCAAACCAGGUCCGCAGCCAAAGUAAUGAUGAUGGUUAUCAUUACUCGUUUGAAGUAAAAAGGAUGGGUGAUGGCGAUGGUGCUGAAAGACUCGAAUCUCAUCUUGUUGCUGCUCUUGGAAUCCAGUGGGCUCAUGCUGUAACUAUCCGUCUAGUCUUCGAGUCUCACUCAGGUCAGAGGUUCAUCAAGGUGGCGAAAUCACCCAUGUCUCCAGCAGUAGCAUUUCCUUUCAUUGUGGAAUCAUCAGGCAUUACAUUACUAAAUGAUGAAGGCAUUGAUGUGUCAGGUCCUGAGAUAACCUCGAUUCGCUGUCAAGGGCAAAAUUUGUUGGGUCCGUUACCACUUGAAAACUGA